RNAcentral lists this long non-coding RNA (203 nucleotides) under Elaeis guineensis (African oil palm). RNAcentral's name for it is "long non-coding RNA (EGUI_LNC050580)". Lineage: Eukaryota; Viridiplantae; Streptophyta; Magnoliopsida; Arecales; Arecaceae. The record is from RNAcentral.
UCAUUAUUUGAGAUCGAGAUUUUCACCAUGGAGCUCUUGGCAAGCUUUGCUACCUUAGCAAGGCUUGGCCCAUGCAUCAGCUAAUGAGUCAAAAUGCUUUGGCCUUAUUUUGAGCCGAUCCAUCUUGUUUUCUCAUCAUCAUCAGCCAUUGCCGCCAGUGAUGUUGCUAUCACGACUGUCUUCAGAGGCCAUGUUAGGAAAGA